GCAAUUGAAGCUUAGGUAAGAGCGUCGGUCUUGUAAACCGAAGGAUGAAAGUAAAGGCUUUCCUGUUGCU
This 70-nucleotide transfer RNA is filed under the name Umbonium thomasi. RNAcentral's name for it is "tRNA-Thr". It matches the Rfam family "tRNA". Rfam says of the family: Transfer RNA (tRNA) molecules are approximately 80 nucleotides in length. Their secondary structure includes four short double-helical elements and three loops (D, anti-codon, and T loops). Further hydrogen bonds mediate the characteristic L-shaped molecular structure. tRNAs have two regions of fundamental functional importance: the anti-codon, which is responsible for specific mRNA codon recognition, and the 3' end, to which the tRNAs corresponding amino acid is attached (by aminoacyl-tRNA synthetases). tRNAs cope with the degeneracy of the genetic code in two manners: having more than one tRNA (with a specific anti-codon) for a particular amino acid; and 'wobble' base-pairing, i.e. permitting non-standard base-pairing at the 3rd anti-codon position. Lineage: Eukaryota; Metazoa; Mollusca; Gastropoda; Trochida; Trochidae. The record is from RNAcentral.